This 253-nucleotide ribosomal RNA is filed under the name uncultured bacterium. Its description in RNAcentral is "partial 16S ribosomal RNA". It matches the Rfam family "Bacterial small subunit ribosomal RNA", at positions 524 to 776 of the family's 1533-position model. The record is from RNAcentral.
UACAGAGACUGCAAGCGUUAUUCGGAUUCACUGGGCGUAAAGGGUGCGCAGGCGGCCAAGUGUGUCAGGUGUGAAAUCCCGAGGCUUAACCUCGGAACUGCGCCUGAAACUACUUGGCUAGAGUACUGGAGAGGGUAACGGAAUUCACGGUGUAGCAGUGAAAUGCGUAGAUAUCAGAAGGAACACCUGUGGUGUAGACGGCUUUCUGGACGAUUCCUGACGCUGAGACACGAAAGCGUGGGUAGCAAACAGG